AUUGAACGCUAGCGGGAUGCUUUACACAUGCAAGUCGAACGAGUGGCGGACGGGUGAGUAAUAUAUCGGAAUGUGCCCAGUAGCGGGGGAUCACUACUCGAAAGAGUGGAUAAUACCGCAUAAUAUUGGAACGGCAGAUAUCGGAUUAGCGAGGUGGGGGGGUAAGGGAGCACAAAGGCAACGACCCGUAGCUGGUUUGAGAGGAUGAACAGCCACACUGGGACUGAGACACGGCCCAGACUCCUACGGGAGGCAGCAGUGGGGAAUUUUGGACAAUGGGGGAAACCCUGAUCCAGCCAUCCCGCGUGUAUGAGAAGGCCUUCGGGUUGUAAAGUACUUUUGGCAGAGAAGCGGUAUCUGCAGAAUAAGCACCGGCUAACUACGUGCCAGCAGCCGCGGUAAUAC
Molecule: ribosomal RNA, 405 nt
Filed under: uncultured bacterium
Lineage: Bacteria
Description: partial 16S ribosomal RNA
Rfam family: Bacterial small subunit ribosomal RNA
Source: RNAcentral